This 1335-nucleotide ribosomal RNA is filed under the name metagenome. RNAcentral describes it as "SSU rRNA". It matches the Rfam family "Eukaryotic small subunit ribosomal RNA", at positions 416 to 1792 of the family's 1831-position model. The record is from RNAcentral.
CUACGGGUUGCAGCAGUUGCGAAAAUUGCCCAAUGCUCCUAGAGCGAGGCAGCGACAGGUAAUACUAAGACGCGGCACUUCGUGCUGUGUCAUCGGAAUGGACUAAAUUUAAAUCCCUUUGUGAGGAUCAAGUCGAGGGCAAGUCAGGUGCCAGCAGCCGCGGUAAUUCCUGCUCGACGAGUGAACACGAUCUUUGUUGCAGUUAAAAAGCUCGUAGUUGAACUUCUGGUGUGCGCGGGGGGUUGGGGGCGCAAGCCUCCUUCCUGUUGCGCGCUCCAUGCUCGCUCCGCGUCGCGUUUCCGCAAGGAGGCGCGUCAAGCGAAGCGUCCGUUACUGUGAACAAAACGAUUCACUCAAGGAGGGUUUUCCGCCUGAACGACUCGCACGGGAUAACCGAGAAAGGCCCUUUUCCUUUUCGUUGGUUUGGGAUGGGGGUUUGGUUAACAGGAACGGAUGUGGAUAUUUGUACUGUCGCAGAAGAGGUGAAAUUCUUGGAUCGCGACAUGACAAACAACAGCGAAAGCAUUUAUCCAAGAUGUUUUCAUUAAUCAAGAACGAAAGUCUGGGGAGCGAAGAUGAUUAGAUACCAUCGUAGUCCAGACCGUAAACGAUGCCGACUCGGGAUCCCGGCGUGCUGUAACGGCUGCCGGGGCACCGUAUGAGAAAUCAAAGUCAAAGGGUUCCGGGGGGAGUAUGCUCGCAAGGGUGAAACUUAAAGAGAUUGACGGAAGGGCACACCAGAGGUGGAGCCUGCGGUUUAAUUUGACCCAACACGGGGAAACUUACCAGGUCAGAACAUGAUGAGGAUUGACAGUUUGAAAGCACUUUCUUGAUUUUAUGGGUGGUGGUGCAUGGCCGUUCUUAGUUGGUGGAGUGAUUUGUCUGGUUGAUUCCGAUAACGAACGAGACCACCUUCCUCAACUAGUCGCCUCUGACUUGCGUCAGAGCGUGACUUCUUCAGGAGACUAUCUACUUUUAGUAGAAGGAAGCAGGUGGCAAUAACAGGUCUGUGAUGCCCCUAGAUGUUCUGGGCCACACGCGCGCUACAAUGACGGAUUUAACGAGUUUUUGCUUGCCCGGAAGGGCACGGCUAAUCUUUUCAAUGUCCGUCGUGAUGGGGCUAGAUUCUUGCAAUUAUUAAUCUUCAACGAGGAAUCUCUUGUAUGUGCUGUUCAUCAAACAGCGCAGAAUAUGUCCCUGCCCUUUGUACACACCGCCCGUCGCAGCUACCGAUUGGGUGAUCCGAUGAAAGGCUCGGAGGGGUUGUAGGUCCCGCAAGGGGUUUGCGACGCCAAAGUUCUUUGAAUCUUAUCAUCUAGAGGAAGCUGAAGUCGU